AUGGAAAUGAUAUUGAGUAACCGUUGGCUAUUAUUGUUGCUGUUGUUGUUGUUGUAGUUUAGCCGCGGGUCAGCCCAGAUUCAGCAGGCCACAAUGGUCAACGGCGUUUCAGAAAUGACCAACGCAUCGAUUAAGGCAAGGUCAACAAUUUUGAUGAGAGAGGCAACACGAUUACAUUCGGUCCACUUUACUGGAACUUGUUUUAUGGACCGCAAAAGGCAAAGGCGACUCAGAACGUAAAAACGGACGAAAUGUCGCUUAGCGUUUUACCCGGCAUGCUAACGAUUCAGCUCGUCACCUUAAAAUAACGACGACAUAAGAUUAAUAAUCUUUUCUACUCUAGGCACAAGGCCCGAAAUCUUUAGGGAGGGGGCCAGUCGAUUAGAUCGACCCCCAUACGCAAUUGGUACUUAUUUAAUCGACCCCGAAAGGAUAAAAGGCAAAGUCGACCGCGGCGAAAUUUGAACUCAGAGCGUAAAGACGAACGAAACGCCACUAAGCGUUUUGCCCAACAGCAUAAAACUAAUAAUGAUAAUGUUUUAACAUGAA
Long non-coding RNA from Octopus bimaculoides (California two-spot octopus), 549 nucleotides. RefSeq lists it as uncharacterized. Lineage: Eukaryota; Metazoa; Mollusca; Cephalopoda; Octopoda; Octopodidae. The record is from RefSeq and is a predicted model, not a curated record.